Neopsephotus bourkii (Bourke's parrot) is the source of this 458-nucleotide long non-coding RNA. RefSeq lists it as uncharacterized. The record is from RefSeq and is a predicted model, not a curated record. NCBI's taxonomy places the organism in Eukaryota, Metazoa, Chordata, Aves, Psittaciformes, Psittacidae. The transcript is spliced from 3 exons.
AACAGAUGUAUUUAACCCAGACAGCUCAUCCUUGGGAAAAAAACAGGUACCAGAUGUAUUAGAUUCUCCAAAGCACAGAAAUCACAUCUAAUACAUUGCAAAAGCACAUGCAUGAAAUUCUCUCCAGCCUGUGUGAUGGAAUGAGCUACUUUUAUAUUCACUCCUGAGUUACAGUGUAUACCUAGAUUCCUUGAGAGUACCCAAAUAGCUGAUAGCAGGUUUCAAAAUGGAAAAAGCCUUCAAAAGGAUUUGCAUCCUAGCUUCCCUCUGUAAGAUCCUUCUGCAAGAGAUUUGAGAAUUAGCUGCUGUGCCUGCAGUAUAUUAAAUCUUUGACAGCCAUCCACUUGGGGAAUCCCUGGUAAAAAAAAAAGAAACAACAGAAAAAUAACCACCUCAUUUUGCUUCAAAAGGUUCACAGUAUCACUUGAAAGUGGAGAAUAAAUCACCAUUCUUGAUAA